This 343-nucleotide unclassified non-coding RNA is filed under the name Plenodomus biglobosus. RNAcentral describes it as "Leptosphaeria biglobosa partial internal transcribed spacer region". The stretch from base 1 to 46 matches the Rfam family "Eukaryotic small subunit ribosomal RNA", at positions 1786 to 1831 of the family's 1831-position model. Lineage: Eukaryota; Fungi; Ascomycota; Dothideomycetes; Pleosporales; Leptosphaeriaceae. RNAcentral also lists the same sequence under 1 other name. The record is from RNAcentral.
AAGUCGUAACAAGGUUUCCGUAGGUGAACCUGCGGAAGGAUCAUUAACUAGUAUUGAAGUCCACGGGGAUCAGGCUUUCCGAAAGGAGGGUGGGGGGAUGUUUGGUUCCCCCUGCUUGGGCAGACUGGAGAGCAUUGUGUAGCCACUUUUGUUGGCUACGUUAUGUUUGGCCUCUGCUGAUCGAGCUUGUCACCUGAAUUCUACUACCCUUGCUUUUUGCGCACCCAUUGUUUCCUCGGUAGGCUUGCCUGCCAGUAGGACCAUUUAAAACCCUUUGUGAUUGCAAUCAGCGUCAGAAACAACGUAAUCGUUACAACUUUCAACAACGGAUCUCUUGGUUCUG